CUGCAGCCCGAGUGGUGAUCGAUUUUAUUGAGCCUAAAGCGUCCGUAGCCGGACUAGUAAACCCUUGGGUAAAUUGGGCAGCUUAACUGUCCAAAUUCCGAGGGGACUGCUAGUCUUGGGACCGGGAGAGGUCAGAGGUACUCAAGGGGUAGGGGCUAAAUCCUGUAAUCCUUUGGGGACCACCAGUGGCGAAGGCGUCUGACUAGAACGGACCCGACGGUAAGGGACGAAACCCUGGGGCGCGAACCGGAUUAGAUACCCGAGUAGUCC
Molecule: ribosomal RNA, 270 nt
Filed under: uncultured archaeon
Lineage: Archaea
Description: partial 16S ribosomal RNA
Rfam family: Archaeal small subunit ribosomal RNA
Source: RNAcentral